Perognathus longimembris pacificus (Pacific pocket mouse) is the source of this 181-nucleotide long non-coding RNA. RefSeq lists it as uncharacterized. The record is from RefSeq and is a predicted model, not a curated record. NCBI's taxonomy places the organism in Eukaryota, Metazoa, Chordata, Mammalia, Rodentia, Heteromyidae. The transcript has 3 exons.
UUCAGAGACUUUUCUAAUUACUUCAGAAAUAAAGGCCAGCACCUGUGGUUCUAGCCUGUACGCAACCCUCAGUUAGUUACUCAGGAGGCUUGACACCCAGAGGACCUCAGAUUUAAGCCAACCGGCAUGGAAAUGUCCAACAAAAUGUUGGACUGAAGACAAACCUCACUCAAGUGGUAGA